CCUACGGGAGGCAGCAGUGGGGAAUAUUGCGCAAUGGGCGAAAGCCUGACGCAGCGACGCCGCGUGAGGGAUGAAGGUCUUCGGAUCGUAAACCUCUGUCAGCAGGGAAGAACGGUCACUGUGCUAAUCAGCAGUGAAUUGACGGUACCUGCAAAGGAAGCACCGGCUAACUCCGUGCCAGCAGCCGCGGUAAUACGGAGGGUGCGAGCGUUAAUCGGAAUUACUGGGCGUAAGGCGCUCGUAGGCGGUAUGUCAAGUCAAGGGUGAAAUCCCCGCGCUCAACGUGGGAACUGCCUUUGAAACUGGCAGACUGGAGUGUGUGAGAGGAUAGUGGAAUUCGAGGUGUAGGAGUGAAAUCCGUAGAUAUCUGGAGGAACAUCAGUGGCGAAGGCGACUAUCUGGCACAUAACUGACGCUGAGGAGCGAAAGCGUGGGUAGCAAACAGGAUUAGAUACCCUUGUAGUC
Molecule: ribosomal RNA, 465 nt
Filed under: uncultured bacterium
Lineage: Bacteria
Description: partial 16S ribosomal RNA
Rfam family: Bacterial small subunit ribosomal RNA
Source: RNAcentral